This 292-nucleotide ribosomal RNA is filed under the name uncultured bacterium. RNAcentral's name for it is "partial 16S ribosomal RNA". It matches the Rfam family "Bacterial small subunit ribosomal RNA", at positions 333 to 617 of the family's 1533-position model. The record is from RNAcentral.
UUUUUCCUACGGGGGGCAGCAGUGGGGAAUUUUGGACAAUGGGCGCAAGCCUGAUCCAGCUAUUCCGCGUGUGGGAUGAAGGCCCUCGGGUUGUAAACCACUUUUGUAGAGAACGAAAAGACACCUUCGAAUAAAGGGUGUUGCUGACGGUACUCUAAGAAUAAGCACCGGCUAACUACGUGCCAGCAGCCGCGGUAAUACGUAGGGUGCGAGCGUUAAUCGGAAUUACUGGGCGUAAAGGGUGCGCAGGCGGUUGGGUAAGACAGAUGGGAAAUCCCCGAGCGUAACUCGG